CCUACGGGAGGCAGCCGUGGGGAAUAUUGCACAAUGGGGGAAACCCUGAUGCAGCGACGCCUCGUGAGUGAAGAAGUAUUUCGGUAUGUAAAGCUCUAUCAGCAGGGAAGAAAUCAAGUCCUUUGGACUUUGGACGGUACCUGACUAAGAAGCCCCGGCUAACUACGUGCCAGCCGCCGCGGUAAUACGUAGGGGGCAAGCGUUAUCCGGAUUUACUGGGUGGAAAGGGAGCGUAGACGGCAGCGCAUGUCUGGAGUGAAGUCCCAUGGCUUAACCAUGGAACUGCGUUGGAAACUGUGCAGCUAGAGUGCAGGAGAGGUAAGCGGAAUUACUAGUGUAGCGGUGAAAUGCGUAGAUAUUAGGAGGAACACCAGUGGCGAAGGCGGCUUACUGGACUGUAACUGACGUUGAGGCUCGAAAGCGUGGGGAGCAAACAGGAUUAGAUACCCCAGUAGUC
This 457-nucleotide ribosomal RNA is filed under the name uncultured bacterium. Its description in RNAcentral is "partial 16S ribosomal RNA". It matches the Rfam family "Bacterial small subunit ribosomal RNA", at positions 338 to 795 of the family's 1533-position model. The record is from RNAcentral.